AAAAAAAAGAGUUAUUAUUGUUAUUGUUGUUGGCUGAAUAUCAGCCAUAUGUAUAAAGUGAGAGUCUUUUUAUUUUUGUCGUCUUGCGUCGGCUGAAAAAAGCCAAAUGUACAAAAGUCGUAAAGUAAAUAGUUUGUCGGUCAAUCAUGUAAAAAGUUUGUCGGCCAAUUAUGUAAAGUAAAUAGUAUGACGGUGUAAUUUAUGUGUAUAAAUAGAGGAGCUUUCCUCAUAAAUAAAACACACCUUCAUCCUUACAUCUCUCUUCUUUCUGAAUACUCUCUCUCUACGCUUCCACCCCCAAA
Molecule: unclassified non-coding RNA, 302 nt
Filed under: Hevea brasiliensis (rubber tree)
Lineage: Eukaryota; Viridiplantae; Streptophyta; Magnoliopsida; Malpighiales; Euphorbiaceae
Source: RNAcentral